Molecule: unclassified non-coding RNA, 240 nt
Filed under: soil metagenome
Description: partial contains 5.8S ribosomal RNA, internal transcribed spacer 2, and large subunit ribosomal RNA
Source: RNAcentral
AACGCACGAGACCUGCGGACCUGCGGAGGGAUCAUUACCGAGGAUGGGGGUAUGUGGGGCGGCGAGGCCGGAGGGCGAGGCCGAAAGGCGAUGCCGAAAGGCGAUGCCGAAAGGCGAUGCCGGAGGGCGCAGCCAGCCACGUACACACUCGUGCUUGCUGGGGAGGCGUGGCUGGGAGUGGGGGAUUCUGGCGGCUCACGUGGCAGCACUGCCUGUGGGACACUGGAGUCUUCCUCUGCU